Molecule: ribosomal RNA, 253 nt
Filed under: uncultured bacterium
Lineage: Bacteria
Description: partial 16S ribosomal RNA
Rfam family: Bacterial small subunit ribosomal RNA
Source: RNAcentral
UACGUAGGGUGCGAGCGUUGUCCGGAAUUAUUGGGCGUAAAGGGCUCGUAGGCGGUUUGUCACGUCGGGAGUGAAAACUCGGGGCUCAACCCCGAGCCUGCUUCCGAUACGGGCAGACUGGAGUACUGCAGGGGAGACUGGAAUUCCUGGUGUAGCGGUGGAAUGCGCAGAUAUCAGGAGGAACACCGGUGGCGAAGGCGGGUCUCUGGGCAGUAACUGACGCUGAGGAGCGAAAGCGUGGGGAGCGAACAGG